CCCAGACUCCUACGGGAGGCAGCAGUGGGGAAUAUUGCACAAUGGGGGGAACCCUGAUGCAGCGACGCCGCUUGGGUGAAGGAGCACCUCGGUGCGUAAAGCCCUCUCGGCAGGGAAGAAACAGACGGUACCUGGGGAGGAAGCUCCGGCUAACUACGUGCCAGCAGCCGCGGUAAUACGUAGGGAGCGAGCGUUGUCCGGAAUUACUGGGUGUAAAGGGAGCGUAGGCGGGACUGCAAGUUGGGUGUCAAAUCUACCGGCUCAACCGGUAGCCGCACUCAAAACUGCAGUUCUUGAGUGAAGUAGAGGCAGGCGGAAUUCCUAGUGUAGCGGUGAAAUGCGUAGAUAUUAGGAGGAACACCAGUGGCGAAGGCGGCCUGCUGGGCUUUUACUGACGCUGAGGCUCGAAAGUGUGGGGAGCAAACAGGAUUAGAUACCCUUGUACCC
Molecule: ribosomal RNA, 447 nt
Filed under: uncultured bacterium
Lineage: Bacteria
Description: bacterial SSU rRNA
Rfam family: Bacterial small subunit ribosomal RNA
Source: RNAcentral